Molecule: ribosomal RNA, 497 nt
Filed under: uncultured bacterium
Lineage: Bacteria
Description: partial 16S ribosomal RNA
Rfam family: Bacterial small subunit ribosomal RNA
Source: RNAcentral
GAUGAACGCUGGCGGCGUGCCUAAUACAUGCAAGUCGAGCGAACAGACGAGGAGCUUGCUCCUCUGACGUUAGCGGCGGACGGGUGAGUAACACGUGGAUAACCUACCUAUAAGACUGGGAUAACUUCGGGAAACCGGAGCUAAUACCGGAUAAUAUAUUGAACCGCAUGGUUCAAUAGUGAAAGACGGUUUUGCUGUCACUUAUAGAUGGAUCCGCGCCGCAUUAGCUAGUUGGUAAGGUAACGGCUUACCAAGGCGACGAUGCGUAGCCGACCUGAGAGGGUGAUCGGCCACACUGGAACGGAGACACGGUCCAGACUCCUGCGGGAGGCAGCAGUAGGGAAUCUUCCGCAAUGGGCGAAAGCCUGACGGAGCAACGCCGCGUGAGUGAUGAAGGUCUUCGGAUCGUAAAACUCUGUUAUUAGGGAAGAACAAAUGUGUAAGUAACUAUGCACGUCUUGACGGUACCUAAUCAGAAAGCCACGGCUAACUACGUG